Long non-coding RNA from Hippopotamus amphibius kiboko, 460 nucleotides. RefSeq lists it as uncharacterized. The transcript has 3 exons. NCBI's taxonomy places the organism in Eukaryota, Metazoa, Chordata, Mammalia, Artiodactyla, Hippopotamidae. The record is from RefSeq and is a predicted model, not a curated record.
GCGCCGGCCGCAGCGCUCUCACCUGCGCAGGUCGCGGGGCCGCUGGGAGGACGCCGGGGAGAGCCCGGAGCGAGGCCGGGGUGGGGCGUGCCCGGCCGGGGCCGGAGACCAGGAGGGGCUGGUGCGAACCGGCAGGAGCCCGCUGGACGCCGACGGGUCCCCGCUGCCCCCCGUGCAGGGCCGGUGCCGCUCUGGUCCCGUCCCGGUUCCUGGUGACACACGAGAGGCGGAUGGAUGACCGUUCUGCCCAAGGUGACCCGUGAGAGCGAGCCGUUUGCAGUCUGCGGAACUCACAAGCCAUGUCUUAUCACGAGGGUGUCAGUGAACUGACGCCUGUCUCCUGAAGGGAUCAGCCGUAAUUUAGUUGCCCCGUGGCAUGCGGGAUCUUAGCUCCUGGACCAGGGAUGGAACUCACAUCCCCUGCAUUGGAAGGCAGGUUCUUAACCACUGGACCACCAGG